RNAcentral lists this ribosomal RNA (402 nucleotides) under uncultured bacterium. RNAcentral describes it as "bacterial SSU rRNA". It matches the Rfam family "Bacterial small subunit ribosomal RNA", at positions 355 to 774 of the family's 1533-position model. The record is from RNAcentral.
UGGGGAAUCUUGCACAAUGGGGGCAACCCUGAUGCAGCGACGCCGCGUGAGCGAUGAAGCCCUUCGGGGCGUAAAGCUCUUUCGACCGGAACGAUAAUGACGGUACCGGGAGAAGAAGCUGCGGCUAACUACGUGCCAGCAGCCGCGGUAAUACGUAGGCAGCAAGCGUUGUUCGGAGUUACUGGGCGUAAAGAGUGCGUAGGCGGUUUUCUAAGUUCGGUGUGAAAUCUCCCGGCUUAACUGGGAGGGCGCGCCGAAGACUGGGAAGCUGGAGUGGGGGAAAGGCAGGCGGAAUUCCUGGUGUAGCGGUGAAAUGCGUAGAUAUCAGGAGGAACACCGGCGGUGUAGACGGCUUGCUAGACCAUAACUGACGCUGAGGCACGAAAGCGUGGGUAGCAAACA